Mugil cephalus (flathead mullet) is the source of this 71-nucleotide small nucleolar RNA. RefSeq annotates it as small nucleolar RNA SNORD24. Lineage: Eukaryota; Metazoa; Chordata; Actinopteri; Mugiliformes; Mugilidae. The record is from RefSeq and is a predicted model, not a curated record. The transcript has a single exon.
UGCAAGUGAUGUAAACGAGUAUUUGCUAUCUGAUCAGUUAUGCUGACCCUUCCACCAAGAUCACUGAUGCA